Molecule: RNA transcript, 974 nt
Organism: Zea mays
Lineage: Eukaryota; Viridiplantae; Streptophyta; Magnoliopsida; Poales; Poaceae
Exons: 2
Source: RefSeq, a predicted model, not a curated record
UCUGUUACUCCUCCCUGCUCGUGCUCCAUUCAAACAGACGUUUCUACCACUGUAGUGACGCCAAUGAUGACUGCGUUACUGCUCGUCGACAAGAGCCUCCUCAUCUCCCUGCGCUCUCUGCUUGGCCUAUAAAUCCGACGCGGUGUCCCUUGCUGCCUUUCAAGUUCUGGUUGCCUCUCCCUGACCGCUGCUGCUCAUCUUGGUUCGUUCCGCGCCAGCUGCCAGUCGAACAGCCACGUCCGGUACCAUGUCGGAUGCGCCCCCAACAAGUUCUCUACUCGCACAGCCUCCUUGCUGCUCGCCGCCGCCGAUGUCAAAGACUGCCUCGGUGUCCAUUCUCCACGUCGAAGCUUCGUCGCUAGUAUCACUAUUUCCCUGAUGGUCUCGACGUUGUUCUUGUGCUGCAGCUGCUUGUGGUGCUGGUGCUACGCCGCUCGCUAUGCCGCUUCACCACCGUGUUCCAUGCUGCCGAGAUCUCCUUCACCGUGUCCCACGACACCGAGAGUCCCUGUCCGAAGCUCCCUGCGCUGCGCCAGUCUCCCUCGCCAGUGCCAUCAAACCCGCCAUCGUUGCCGUACCUUGUCGCCAGUUACUGCUCGCUUGCUACGCCGUCGUGUGUCGUAGCCGGAGUCGUCGCCAUCGUCGUUCCGGGCACCUCUUCGGUGCUCCCUUCUCGCCGCGAAAGGAGUGUGGAAGAUAGCAGGGUCAACUGGAGGGAACAAUGGAGGUGGCGGAGCGAUGCCCUGUGCGGCGCCAAGGCUCUGCAUGUACUGGAACAUCUCCGCCAUCCUCUGAUGAUCUGCCCGGCGCUCCGCCUCCCGCUCUACCAUCAUCCUCGCCUCCAUCUCGUGACGUUCCCUCCUCUCUUCUUCUAGUUGGGUCUGUAAUAUUACAAGCCAACGUUAUAGUAACUCAAAGAGUAGGUAUAUAACUCAAGGAAGGACGAGUUACAGAAGCACUAAUCUCGAGUUGCU